UACGAGGUGGACAAACGUUAUUCGGAUUUACUGGGCUUAAAGCGUGCGUAGGCGGCUCAGAAAGUUGGGUGUGAAAGCCCUCGGCUCAACCGAGGAAUUGCGCUCAAAACUACUGAGCUUGAGGGAGAUAGGGGAGAGCGGAACUGAUGGUGGAGCGGUGAAAUGCGUAGAUAUCUGGAGGAAUACCGGUGGCGAAGGCGGCAUCCUGGACCGACAUUGACGCUGAGGAGCGAAAGCUAGGGGAGCAAACGGG
This 253-nucleotide ribosomal RNA is filed under the name uncultured bacterium. RNAcentral describes it as "partial 16S ribosomal RNA". It matches the Rfam family "Bacterial small subunit ribosomal RNA", at positions 524 to 776 of the family's 1533-position model. The record is from RNAcentral.